ACAUGCAAGUCGAACGGUAACAGGUCCUUCGGGACGCUGACGAGUGGCGCACGGGUGAGUAACGCGUGGAUAUCUGCCUAACAGUGGGGGACAACUACGGGAAACCGUAGCUAAUACCGCAUAAUCUCUACGGAGCAAAGCAGGGGACCUUCGGGCCUUGCGCUGAUAGAUGAGUCCCGCGUCUGAUUAGCUAGUUGGUAAGGUAAUGGCUUACCAAGGCGAUGAUCAGUAACUGGUUUGAGAGGAUGAUCAGUCACACUGGAACUGAGACACGGUCCAGACUCCUACGGGAGGCAGCAGUGGGGAAUAUUGCACAAUGGGCGAAAGCCUGAUGCAGCGACGCCGCGUGCGGGAAGAAGGCCUUCGGGUUGUAAACCGCUUUCAAUUGGGAAGAAGAGAUGAGGGCUAAUACCCCUCUGAUUUGACGGUACCUUUAGAAGAAGCACCGGCUAAUUUCGUGCCAGCAGCCGCGGUAAUACGAAAGGUGCAAGCGUUGUUCGGAUUUACUGGGCGUAAAGAGAUCGUAGGUGGUUUGUUAAGUCGGAUGUGAAAUCCCGGGGCUCAACCCCGGAACUGCAUUCGAUACUGGCAGGCUAGAGUUUGGGAGGGGUAAGCGGAAUUCCGUGUGUAGCAGUGAAAUGCGUAGAUAUACGGAGGAACACCUGAGGCGAAGGCGGCUUACUGGACCAAUACUGACACUGAGGAUCGAAAGCGUGGGUAGCAAACAGGAUUAGAUACCCUGGUAGUCCACGCCCUAAACGAUGUCAACUAGCCGUAGCGGGUAUCGACCCCUGCUGUGGCGAAGCUAACGCGAUAAGUUGACCGCCUGGGGAGUACG
Molecule: ribosomal RNA, 838 nt
Filed under: uncultured bacterium
Lineage: Bacteria
Description: bacterial SSU rRNA
Rfam family: Bacterial small subunit ribosomal RNA
Source: RNAcentral